This 253-nucleotide ribosomal RNA is filed under the name uncultured bacterium. RNAcentral's name for it is "partial 16S ribosomal RNA". It matches the Rfam family "Bacterial small subunit ribosomal RNA", at positions 524 to 776 of the family's 1533-position model. The record is from RNAcentral.
UACGAAGGGGGCUAGCGUUGCUCGGAAUUACUGGGCGUAAAGCGCACGUAGGCGGCUUUCUAAGUCGGGGGUGAAAUCCUGGAGCUCAACUCCAGAACUGCCUUCGAUACUGGAAAGCUCGAGUCCGGGAGAGGUGAGUGGAACUGCGAGUGUAGAGGUGAAAUUCGUAGAUAUUCGCAAGAACACCAGUGGCGAAGGCGGCUCACUGGACCGGAACUGACGCUGAGGCGCGAAAGCGUGGGGAGCAAACAGG